GGUUUUUUGAGAAUAAUUUAAGAUUUAAUCUGCCCACUGAGGUAUUAAAGGGCCGCAGUAAUUUGACUGUGCAAAGGUAGCAUAAUAAUUAGUUUUUUAAUUGAAAGCUAGCAUGAAUGAUUGGACAAGAAUAAAGUUGUCUUUAUUUAAAUUAUUUAGAAUUUAAUUUUUAAGUGAAAAAGCUUAAAUAUUAAUUAAAGACGAGAAGACCCUAUAGAGUUUUAUAUAAAUAAAUUUAUUUAUUAAUAAGAAUAAUUUAGUAAAUAAAUAUUAUAUAUUUAAUUGGGGUGAUUUAAAAAUUUGAUAAACUUUUUAUAAAUUUAACAAUAAUUUUUGAUUAUAUGAUCCUUAUUUAAGAUUAUAAGAUUAAAUUACCUUAGGGAUAACAGCGUAAUUUUUUUAGAGAGUUCAUAUUAAUAAGAAAGUUUGCGACCUCGAUGUUGGAUUAAGAUAAAUUUUUAAUGAAGAAGUUAAAAAAAUUAAGUCUGUUCGACUUUUAAAAUCUUACA
RNAcentral lists this ribosomal RNA (509 nucleotides) under Batrisini gen. sp. 1 JP-2018. RNAcentral's name for it is "partial large subunit ribosomal RNA". The stretch from base 382 to 509 matches the Rfam family "Bacterial large subunit ribosomal RNA", at positions 2473 to 2600 of the family's 2925-position model. Lineage: Eukaryota; Metazoa; Arthropoda; Insecta; Coleoptera; Staphylinidae. The record is from RNAcentral.